AUUUUGCACAAUGGGGGAAACCCUGAUCCCGCCAUCCCGCGUGUAAGAUGAAGGCCUUCGGGUUGUAAAGUACUUUUGGCAGAGAAGAAAAGGUAUCUCCUAAUACGAGAUACUGCUGACGGGAUCUGCAGAAUAAGCCGCGGCUAACCACGUUCCCGCAGCCGCGGUAAUACGUAUGGUGCAAGCGUUACUCGGAAUUACUGGGCGUAAAGCGUAUGUAGGCGGUUCGGAAAGAAAGAUGUGAAAGCCCAGGGCUCAACCUUGGAACUGCAUUUUUAACUGCCGAGCUAGAGUAUGUCAGAGGGGAGUAGAAUUCCACGUGUAGCAGUGAAAUGCGUAGAUAUGUGGAGGAAUACCGAUGGCGAAGGCAGCCCCCUGGGAUAAUACUGACGCUCAGACACGAAAGCGUGGGGAGCAAACA
Molecule: ribosomal RNA, 421 nt
Filed under: uncultured bacterium
Lineage: Bacteria
Description: partial 16S ribosomal RNA
Rfam family: Bacterial small subunit ribosomal RNA
Source: RNAcentral